UCCCAGCACUUUGGGAGGCCAAGGUGGGUGGAUCACGAGGUCAAGAGAUCAAGACCAUCCUGAUCAACAAGGUGAAACCCCAUCUCUACUAAAAACACAAAAAUUAGCUGGGCAUGGUGGUGCGUGCCUGUAGUCCCAGCUACUCGGGAGGCUGAGGCAGGAGAAUUGCUUGAACCCAGAAGGCGGAGGUUGCGGUGAGCCGAGAUCGUGCCAUUGCACUCCAGCCUGGGUAACAAGAGCGAAACUCCAUCUCAAAAAAAAAGACAAGAAAAAAAUAAAUCCCAAGGUUUAUCCCAGAACAGUGGAACAAAUCUGAGGUAUUUAUUUAUUUAUUUAGAAAUGGAAUCUGGCUCUGUUGCUCAGGCUGGAGUGCAGUGACAUGAUCUCGGCUCACUGCAGCCUCCACCUCCCAGAUUCAGGCAAUUCUCCAGCCUCAGCCUCCCAAGUACCUGGGAUUACAGGCAUGAACCACCAAGCCAAGCUAAUGUUUGUAUUUAUAUUUUUUAUUUUUAUAAUUGCGGGAUUUAUUAAGCAACAAUGUGUCAUGCUAACAUUUUUGUUUUGAGCAUUUUAUGAAAAAAAAAAAUCCCAGAAUAAUGGAACAAAUCUGAGGUAUUUAUUUAUUUAGAAACAGAGUCUUGCCCUGCUGCCCAGCCUGGAGUACAAUGGCUGAUCUCACUGCAACCUCCGCCUCCAGGGUUCAAGAAAUUCUCCUGCCUCAGCCUCCCGAGUAGCUGAGAUUACAGGUGGAUGCCACCAUGCCCAACUAAUUUUUUGUAUCUUUAGUAAAGAUUGGUUUCACCAUGUUGGCCAAGCUGGUCUUGAACGCCCAAGCUCCUGAUCUGCCCAACUUGGCCUCUCAAAGUGCUGGGAUUACAGGCAUGAGCCACCGUGCCAGGCCUAUUUUUAUUAUUAUUACUUUGAGUUGGGAGUCACCCUCUGUUGCCCAGCCUGGAGUGCAGUGGCUCAAUUUCUGCUCACUGCAACCUCCGCCUCCUGGAUUCAGGGGCUUCUCCUGCCUCAGCUUCCUGAGUAGCUGAGACUAUAAGUGCGUGCCACCACCCAGCUAAUUCUUGUAUUUUAGUAGAGACAAGGUUUCACCGCAUUGGCCAGGAUGGUCUCGAACUCCUGAUGUUGUGAUCCACCCACCUCAGCUUCCCAAAGAGCUGGGAUUACAGGGGUGAGCCACCGUGCCCGGCCUCGUCUAGUAAAAUUAUUUUUUGUUGAAGGGUCUCACUGUGUCGCCCAGGCUGGAGUGUAUGGUGCAAUCCCAGCUCACUGCAGCCUCGACCUCCCAGGCUCAAGAGAUCCCCCAGCAUCAGCCUGAUGAUCAGGUGGGACCACAGGCGCGUGCCACCACCAUGCCCAACUACUUCCCAGUUCAACUGUGGAUAAAACUGGUAUGUGGGGGCAAUGAGAGAGACGGGUGAAAAAUGAGAAACAAGGGAUAGGGCUGACCUCUUUUGUGUAGAAAGAAAAAAAACAGUUUCCUCAGAAAACGUUAAGUUGCCUCUCAGCCGCCUGGUAUCAGGAAGCACUGAGGCUCCCCAACGCUAACUCCUCUCAGAGCAGCUCUGGGCAGGCCACCUGAUCCUAUCCGGAGCGGGCGGGUAGGCCGCGAGACCACGUGGCCCAGAGCGCCCUUCCCUGCUGCCGGCAGGGGCGGGUCCGGGAGCGCCUGCCGCGCUGGGCGGGACGUGGGCUCCCAGGCCCGGCGGAGAGCCGCCGCCGCCGCCCUCUUGUUUUUUUCUUGAGACCUGGUCUGGCUCUGUGGCUCAGGCUGGAGUGCAAGUGGCGUGAUCACCGCUCACUGCAGCCUUAGCCUCCUCUAACCUUAGCCGCUCCGGUACCUGGGACCACGAGCUGGCGCCAUCACCUCCGGCUACGUUUUUUGUAUUUUUAGCAGAGACUGGGAUCCUGCCAUGUUGGCUAGGCUGCUCUCGAACUUCUGAGAUCAAGCGAUCCGCCCGCCUCGGCCUCCCAAAGUGCUGGGACUGCAGGCAUGAGCCACUGUUCCGGGCGCUCAGCCUCUUGGCGCCUCGUUUCGCCUUGCCAGGGCCAGGCAUGUGCAGCUUGUUGGAGAAGGGUCCCGCCCUCUACGGGAAGUCCUCGCUGCCGAGGUGACAGGCGCGGAGAACAGGAGAACCGAGAUACAGGAGGCCACUAACAGUGAUAAGGAAUUGUACCAUGUACUCCAUGCUUCGAUAACUGGAUGCUCAGCGACACGGCUGAGUUCUUCCUGCCAUCCUAACAUCCACGGCAGAUGUUAACCUCCUAUUUGACAAGUGGUCAACUUUUCUGCCUUUGGAAAGGCUUGGGGCUGGGGUGAGGGAGAGAGAAACUUUUAUAGUGAUCCCAUGUACAUUUCCCUGGAAUGAUGGAUUAGGGGGUAUGGUGAUUAAAUAUACAAUGUAUACUUUAAUAUACAUUAAAAAGUUCUGGAAGGAUAUACUUCAAAAUA
Long non-coding RNA from Callithrix jacchus (white-tufted-ear marmoset), 2461 nucleotides. RefSeq lists it as uncharacterized. The record is from RefSeq and is a predicted model, not a curated record. Lineage: Eukaryota; Metazoa; Chordata; Mammalia; Primates; Cebidae.